CAGCCGCCACGGUAAUACGUAGGUGGCAAGCGUUGCCCGGAAUUAUUGGGCGUAAAGGGCUCGCAGGCGGUUUCUUAAGUCUGAUGUGAAAGCCCCCGGCUCAACCGGGGAGGGUCAUUGGAAACUGGGAAACUUGAGUGCAGAAGAGGAGAGUGGAAUUCCACGUGUAGCGGUGAAAUGCGUAGAGAUGUGGAGGAACACCAGUGGCGAAGGCGACCCUCUGGUCUGUAACUGACGCUGAGGAGCGAAAGCGUGGGGAGCGAACAGGAUUAGAUACCCCGGUAGUCCCUGUCUCUUAUAA
RNAcentral lists this ribosomal RNA (301 nucleotides) under uncultured bacterium. RNAcentral describes it as "partial 16S ribosomal RNA". It matches the Rfam family "Bacterial small subunit ribosomal RNA", at positions 509 to 809 of the family's 1533-position model. The record is from RNAcentral.